UUGUUUUGAAGUUGGAUUAAGUUGAUGGAUCUGAUGAAUCAAUAAUUUUUCUGUACCAAUCAUUGUAAAGGGUUAUAUGCAUGUAGCUCUUUUGCAGACAGCCUUCCGUUGGGAUGCUUUUUGUUGGAAAAAAUUAUUUGAUGGAUCCGAUCCAAUGGACUAAUUCAAAUUCGAGGCAUGUAUCCAAUGCAUAAAAAAUUAAAUUCUUAUCUCUAUUUUG
RNAcentral lists this long non-coding RNA (220 nucleotides) under Elaeis guineensis (African oil palm). Its description in RNAcentral is "long non-coding RNA (EGUI_LNC048211)". The record is from RNAcentral. Lineage: Eukaryota; Viridiplantae; Streptophyta; Magnoliopsida; Arecales; Arecaceae.